Molecule: transfer RNA, 73 nt
Filed under: Pseudolactococcus insecticola
Lineage: Bacteria; Bacillati; Bacillota; Bacilli; Lactobacillales; Streptococcaceae
Description: Lactococcus insecticola tRNA
Rfam family: tRNA
About the family: Transfer RNA (tRNA) molecules are approximately 80 nucleotides in length. Their secondary structure includes four short double-helical elements and three loops (D, anti-codon, and T loops).
Source: Rfam by way of RNAcentral
GCCUGUUUAGCUCAGUUGGCAGAGCAUCUGAUUUGUAAUCAGAAGGUCAAGUGUUCGAUUCACUUAACAGGCA